AAUUAUUUAGGAAGGCUUUCACAUCCCAACUUGGUCAAGCUCCUUGGAUACUGUUGGGAAGAUAAAGAUCUUUCACUUGUAUACGAGUUUAUACAGAGGGAGAGCCUGGCAAACCAUCUAUUUAGAAGUAAGAACUUGAUCCAGAAAUUGAACGAAGCAAUUAAUGAGAAACGAGAAUUGCUAAUGUUGAUUUUUGGUUUGGAUGUCUGUUCAGGAAGUGUUGUAAUUGAACCCUUAUUGUGGGACAUAAGACUUAAAUAGCUAUAGGAGCUGUUCGGGGCCUAGAUUUUUUGCAUUCUUCAGAUAACCAAGUCAUCUACAGAAACUUUAAAUCUUCCAGCAUGCUGCUUGAUUAGGUAUGAUUCCAUAAAGUAAUUCCUUACCAUCUGAAAAUUUUCAAUUCAGUUUUUUGACUAUUAGUUAUUGUUUGGAUGAAUAAUUUAGUUGUUUAAGUUGGAAACUUAGCUAAGACAAUUCUAUGUCCCAAAAUUUUUUGGUAAUCUACAUUCGUGUCCUUGUUAAUACAUUUUCAAAACAUUACUUGCAGCAAAUUCAACUUUGAACUUCAUAUUGAAGAUGUGACCAAAGUAUUUUAAACGCCAGAUUAUAAAUCCUAUAUUGGUUGCUGGCUAUCCAGUUAUAAGAUUCCCUUUUACUGAAAUCUUUUCUUGUCAUUAUUAUUAAUUUCUCUUCAGGUACUAAGCAAACAUCUAAAACUAGAGAGAGAGGGAGAAUUUUUUGUAAUCAAUGUAUCCAGGAAGCAGAUCCGACCUCUUCAAGGAUAUGGUGUUGAUGUACGAGUAACUUAGAGUUGUGGAUGGAUAAUAGAUCUUCCAGGCUAGAUGGUCGUCGGGAACAAUGAUUCAAAUUAUUGAUCAAGCAUUUACCUCUAAUGGAAGGGAAUUCUUGCAAACUUUAUGUUUAACAUCUUGUUUAUAAAAUGCCAAGAUGACAUGCAAACUAGAUCUUUCUAUUUAUUAUCUUGUCCAGUUGUUUCAAGAUUUUUCCUUUUAUCUUUAAUGUAAAUCUGUGCUGGUUGAAGAAAAUUAGUGGAAUGCUACAUAAAUGUUUUUUGCUUAUAGUUAAGCGCUGUAACUCUGUUUUCCUUAUGUUGCAGGAUUACUCUGCAAAAAUAUCAGACUUUGGCUUAGCAAUAUUUAGAGGGAUGUGAACAUAUGGUUAUGCUGCUCCUGAAUAUGUUGCAAUGGAUGAGUGUCUAUUUGAUUGUAUGUUACCUUUCAUAGAGUCCUGAACUCAGAUCUACUUUCAUUUCUUGUUAGAUCUGAUCUAUCGUGGAUAUGAUUUUCCAUUUUAAGCCAAAUUUGAUUUGAUGAAAAA
RNAcentral lists this long non-coding RNA (1338 nucleotides) under Olea europaea subsp. europaea. The record is from RNAcentral. Lineage: Eukaryota; Viridiplantae; Streptophyta; Magnoliopsida; Lamiales; Oleaceae.